AACGAACGCUGGCGGCAUGCCUAACACAUGCAAGUCGAACGAGAUCUUCGGGUCUAGUGGCGCACGGGUGCGUAACGCGUGGGAAUCUGCCCUUUGGUUCGGAAUAACAGUUGGAAACGACUGCUAAUACCGGAUGAUGACGAAAGUCCAAAGAUUUAUCGCCAGAGGAUGGGCCCGCGUAGGAUUAGCUAGUUGGUGUGGUAAAGGCGCACCAAGGCGACGAUCCUUAGCUGGUCUGAGAGGAUGAUCAGCCACACUGGGACUGAGACAUGGCCCAGACUCCUACGGGAGGCAGCAGUGGGGAAUAUUGGACAAUGGGCGAAAGCCUGAUCCAGCAAUGCCGCGUGAGUGAUGAAGGCCUUAGGGUUGUAAAGCUCUUUUACCCGGGAUGAUAAUGACAGUACCGGGAGAAUAAGCUCCGGCUAACUCCGUGCCAGCCGCCGCAGUAA
RNAcentral lists this ribosomal RNA (449 nucleotides) under uncultured bacterium. RNAcentral's name for it is "partial 16S ribosomal RNA". It matches the Rfam family "Bacterial small subunit ribosomal RNA", at positions 29 to 523 of the family's 1533-position model. The record is from RNAcentral.